ACCCAGCUGACGAGUCCCAAAUAGGACGAAAAGCGUGUCAAACUGGAU
Molecule: non-coding RNA, 48 nt
Organism: Schistosoma rodhaini
Lineage: Eukaryota; Metazoa; Platyhelminthes; Trematoda; Strigeidida; Schistosomatidae
Source: Rfam